UCCCUACGGGGGGCAGCAGUGGGGAAUAUUGGGCAAUGGGCGCAAGCCUGACCCAGCAACGCCGCGUGAGUGAAGAAGUAUUUCGGUAUGUAAAGCUCUAUCAGCAGGGAAGAAAAAAGACGGUACCUGACUAAGAAGCCCCGGCUAACUACGUGCCAGCAGCCGCGGUAAUACGUAGGGGGCAAGCGUUAUCCGGAUUUACUGGGUGUAAAGGGAGCGUAGACGGCAAUACAAGUCGGAAGUGAAAUACCCGGGCUCAACCUGGGAACUGCUUUGGAAACUGUAUGGCUAGAGUGCUGGAGAGG
Molecule: ribosomal RNA, 305 nt
Filed under: uncultured bacterium
Lineage: Bacteria
Description: bacterial SSU rRNA
Rfam family: Bacterial small subunit ribosomal RNA
Source: RNAcentral